GACGAACGCUGGCGGCGUGCUUAACACAUGCAAGUCGAACGGAAAGGCCCUGCUGUUGUGGGGUGCUCGAGUGGCGAACGGGUGAGUAACAAGUGAGUAGCCUGCCCUUGACUUUGGGAUAACUUCAGGAAACUGGGGCUAAUACCGGAUAGGAGCUCCUGCUGCAUGGUGGGGGUUGGAAAGUUUCGGCGGUUGGGGAUGGACUCGCGGCUUAUCAGCUUGCUGGUGGGGUGGUGGCUUACCAAGGCUUUGACGGGUAGCCGGCCUGAGAGGGUGACCGGCCACAUUGGGACUGAGAUACGGCCCAGACUCCUACGGGAGGCAGCAGUGGGGAAUAUUGCACAAUGGGCGGAAGCCUGAUGCAGCAACGCCGCGUGCGGGAUGACGGCCUUCGGGUUGUAAACCGCUUUCGCCUGUGACGAAGCGUGAGUGACGGUAAUGUGUAAAGAAGCACCGGCUAACUACGUG
This 468-nucleotide ribosomal RNA is filed under the name uncultured bacterium. RNAcentral describes it as "partial 16S ribosomal RNA". It matches the Rfam family "Bacterial small subunit ribosomal RNA", at positions 28 to 507 of the family's 1533-position model. The record is from RNAcentral.